CUCAGCCUCCUGAGUAGCCGGACUACAGGCGCCGGCCACCCCACCGCGCUAAUUUUUUUGUAUUUUUUAGUAGAGACGGGGUUUUGUGUCCGGAAUUGGUGGGUUCUUGGUCUCACUGACUUCAAGAAUGAAGCCGCGGACCCUCGCAGUGAGUGCUACAGCUUUUAAGGUGGCGCCUUUGGAGUUUGUUCCUUCUGAUGUUCGGAUGUGUUCGGAGUUUCUUCCUUCUGGUGGGUUCGUGAUCUCGCUGGCUCAGGAGUGAAGCUGCAGACCUUCACGGGGAGUGUUACAGCUCUUAAGGUGGCACAUCUGGAGUUUGUUCCUUCUGACGUUCAGAUGUGUUCGGAGUUUCUUCCUUCUGGUGGGUUCGUGAUCUCGCUGGCUCAGGAGUGAAGCUGCAGACCUUCAGGGGGAGUGUUACAGCUCUUAAGGUGGCGCGUCUGGAGUUUCUUCCUUCUGGUGGGUUCGUGAUCUCGCUGGCUCAGGAGUGAAGCUGCAGACCUUCACGGGUCAGAUGAAAGUGAGAUCCAUACAUCCUUCUUCAGCAACUUGUGCCUCUGCUCUGCACCUCCCGCAAUUAACUACUGAAAAAAGAACACAGCUUCACAAAAGAGAUUGUAAAAUCAGGAAGUAUAUCUAAGUCACCUCCAGUAGCCGUAACUCUACCUUGUCCAGUAAAAGGAUAAUUCUGGCAGCUAUUGAAAACAGACUGAAGAGAAGAAAGAAGAUUUGGAGGAAUAUGUAUCCAAGAUUGAUGAUGGUGGCUCAGAUCAGUGCUGCUUGUUGCUGACGUUUCUGCCCAAACAUCAUGAAAUGUGGAGAAGAAAGAACACUCAGAUGUGCCCUGGAGACUUUCCUUUUAUUUUUAAACAGGUUUUCUGCAUGCUCUUUUUAAUAUCAUUUGAAUGUCAUUCUCAUUCCUGAAUACAUCUAGAUUCACAUGCUCAAAAUCUAAAAGAUUCAUAAGGAUAAACCCUGGAAAGACUCUCUCCCUCUCGGAUACCAGCCGUGACCUACAUGCUGUUUAAAUUAGUCUCUAGUCUUCAGCCCUCACCAGUGCACAAGUGAGCUGGCAACAUCUCUCACCCUUAUUCCUCCUCCUGUGGCAUGAUCCAGGCUUUCCUAAAUCAGGGCACUGGAAAGAUUGCCUUCAGGAGCCACUAGUGUUGAUCUCAACUCUAUACUUUAAUGCUCUACUAUUGCUCUUGUUGCUAUAGCUAACGUUGCUAAAGGGUAACCUUGAGGAGACCUUCGUUUUAGCUGUUACGUCAGCAUCAUGCCUGUUACCAUGGGUAUUCUAGUGGGUGGUGUUGCUGCUGUAGUGUAACUGCCCAGUGGGUUCUUCUUGUCUGCUCUCCAGAUACAGUCAAUUUAUCAAGGCAGGGGAAUUGCAAUAAACUCUUUAAUUUGCACAAAGGCAGCUGAACAGGAGACCAGAGUUUUAUUGUCAGUCAGAUUAGUCUCCCAGAGAAUUUGAGGGCCGGGAUUUUUCCAAGGUGGUUUGUGGGGAGGGGUUUGGGCGGUUAGGCAAUGUGUGCUUGCUGCUGAUUUGUUGGAGGCAUAACCAUGUGGGAAAUGGUCCUCUUGCAUGCUGAGUCACGUCUCUGUGGGGCCACAGGAGGAGUUGGUGGGUCCGGGCGGAGCCAUUGGUGUCCAACAUACAAAAAAACAUGAAAAGAUAUCUCAAAAGGCUAAUUUUAGGUUCCACAAUGGUGAUGUUAUCUGCAGGAAUAAUUGGGGAAGUUGCAUAUCUUGUGAACACUUGUAUAUAAUGGCUGGCAACUGUUUAUGUCUACACUUAGCAGAAUUCAGGCUUCUCCAUCCACCUAGCCUGGUGGUGUCUCAUUAACUUUACAAAGGUGGUUGAGUUUUGGGGAAGGGCUAUUAUCAUUUAAACUAUAAACUAAAUGGCUCCCAAAGUUAUCUUGGCCUAAGCCCAGGAAUAAUUAAAGGCAGCUUGAAGGCCAAAGGAAAGAUGGGGUUUAGCCAGAUCAGAUCUUCACUGCCAUUAUUUUGCCAUUAUUGUAAUUUUUGCAAAGGCAGUUACACUAGCAAGGACUAUAUCUUAAGUGACCAUGGAACAUCAUUUGAAAUGACACACCUUUGAGCCAAAGUCGAUGUUAUCAAUGUUCAUACUGGGCAAACAGGUAUCAACUGAGCAAGCUGGCACCUAUGGUCAACUUAAUUGUAGCAGGGGCUUUCUGUGCACCAACAUUAGAUUCAUUAGAUUUUAUUUCCUUGAUUUCUUACAGCCUGCUUUCUUAAAGACUUCAGAAGAAGUUCAUCUGAGUGAAUGGGGAGAAAAUAGGAUACUAUUAAGGCUAAAUCCAUCCAAGCCAUAUUUUAAUUGAUACAAAACCUGAACACCUAUGGUACACGCUGAGUGGUUGGGAAUUAGUGUUUGUUUUCACUUUUGCCAGAGUCUUAAUUAUAGUUCUAUGGUGUUUGGGGUUGCCAAUUGUUCUAAAUCUCCUUUGUCUUGUCUACUAAGAAGCCCAUUAAAUUUGUGUAAGGUGAAACUGGAGGCUGCAAAGAAUAGCCAAAGGAGCAGCUUCCAAGGGCCUAAGAUUGAAGCUUCUUUCAUGUUCUGUCAAAGAAAUUCUACACUUAAGGGAAGGUGUGGUGCCAGACCUUUCCUUUAUAGCUUUAGCUAUAUGUUGUAAUUGUCUUUUUUCUGAUUUAAUUUUAUAUUUAGGGAUCAUAGGAGGAAUUUGAUUUUGGAGGGCCUUUGAUUUUAUUAACAUUUUAUGAUAUAUUAAGGGUGUGGAAAGAAAAAUUUUUGGUUCCCCAAAUCACUAAGCUAAAGGAAGAAAUCAAGCUGGGAAGUGCUUAGGGCAAACCUGCCUCCCAUUUUUUUCUUUUUCUUUUUUUUCUUUUUUUGAGAUGGAGUCUUGCUCUGUCACUCAGGCUGGAGUGCAGUGGCAUGAUCUCGACUCACUGCAACCUCUGCUUCCUGGGUUCAGGCAAUUCUCCUGCCUCAACCUCCCGAAUAGCCAGGAUUACAGGUGCCAACCACCAUGCCCAGCUAAUUUUUUGUAUUUUUAGUAGAGACGGGGUUUCACCAUGUUGGCCAGGAUGGUCUUGAACUCCUGACCUCGUGAUCUGCCCACCUCGGCCUCCCAGAGUGCUGGGAUUACAGUUGUGAGCCUCCCCACCUGGCCUCCUGCCUCCCAUUCUAAAGUCAUCCCUCUGAUCACUGAGAUAAAUGCAUAUCUGAUUGCCUCCUUUGGAAAAGCUAAACAGAAACUCAAAAGAAUGCAACCAUUUGUCUCUCACCUGGAAGCCCCCUCCCUGCUUCAAGUUGUCCUGCCUUUCUGGAGAGAACCAAUGUACGUCUUACAUAUUUUGCUUGAUGUCUCACAUCUUCCUAAAAAGUAUAAAACCAAGCUAUGGUCUGACCACCUUGGAAACAUGUCCUCAGGACCUCCCGAGGCUGUGUCAUGGGCACGUGUCAGCGACCUUGGCAAAAUAGACAUUCUAAAUUAACUGAGAGCUGUUUUGGAUAUUCGAAGUUCACAUUUUGGUACCCAUGAAGGUAUUCUGAGUGGAGGUUCCCCUGACCUUUGGCAAAUCUCCUAUCAGUGUUUGGUACCAGCCUGAGCUAUCUUUAUGGCUCAAACCAAUAGGACAAUUCAUGAUCUCCCAAAAUGUGAUUGUGAUCUAAAGUUUAUUUUGCUGUACAACUCCUUUUUUAAGGAGUUUUAGUUGCUUCCAAGACAAAGAAGGCAAGUUUUUCCUGCUUCCAUGAUGCUGGAAGGCAGGUAACUCCUUUAAGGAGUUUGAGCUAGCGUUCAGCAGGGAAAAUGAGCUUGAGUUUUUUCCUGCUUCUAGUAUGGUAGAGAGCAGUCUUCAACCUGAUACCCAUCCCUAGGUAAGUAACUGAAUUGGGGUUUGUCUUGCUAAAGUUAAGUUUAACAACCAGCUGGUCUUAAUUUCUCCUUACCAUUAGAGCACUCCAUAAUUGUGUGAGUUGUGCAAUUGCUUUGCUUAACUUUGGUUUGUUUCUGUUUUUGUUAUUGUUUCAGUUUUUUUUUCCAUUGGGUUUGACCAACUCUAUAUUCGACUUGAACAAAUCCGAAGGAAAGCUUCCAAUUAUGGGGAACAAGUCCUCUGAAGUGGCUAAAUUCCCACACACACAAAAGAAAAGGUAGGGUGGUGGGGGGGAGAAAAACAGCCAGCAAAAGGAAAAAAAAAAAAGGAAAGAUUUUUGAUUUUGACUACUUAAGGGGCUUUAUUUACAUAACAAGGCCACCUAUUUGGUAGCCAGGCCAAACUGAAAGAGCAACGGCUGUCGCCCCAUGCUGCAGUUCCAUAGCUAAGGUUCUGCUUUCUUUUUUUCACCACAACAGUCUGGGUUUGGUUCCUAAAUCAAGCCCUUUCUGGUUUGAUACUUGGUACUUCUGAAAUAGCAGUAAUUUGUCCCAGCUGAAAUAUGGUAAUGAGAUUUAAAAAGUUUUUUUUAAAGGACCUCAAUGGUUAAAAGUCAGCUUAAUUAAAAGCCAACAUACAAGAUGUGUGUGUGUGUGUGUGUGUGUGUGUGUGUGUGUGUGCACGCGUGCGGGCGCAUGUGUUUAUUUAAAAGGCUUUCAUGUUUUUUUUGUUUUGUUUUCCUAAGAAUUGGUUAGAACAAUGAAAUUUUCUUAAAUGGUUGAUUGACUUAAUAAAUUAUAAGAUAUUUUAAUUUUUUUAACCCAAAGUUUAACUUGUAUUGCAUCUCGCCAUUUUCAGUUUUCUCUCCCCUUUUAAAAGGCACGAAAUGGUUACUCUCUCCUUCACCUGUGCUUUGAGUAGCCCCACCUUUCUGGACGGAACCAAUGUACAUCCUAUAUAUAUUGAUUGAUGUCUCAUGUCUGCCUAAAAUGUAUAAAACCAAGCCAUGCCCAACCACGUUGGGCAUAUGUCGUCAGGACCUCCUAAGGCUGUGUCAUGGGCACAUGUCCUCAACCUUGGCAAAAUCAACUUUCUAAAUUAACUGAGACCUGUCUCAGAUAUUCGGGUUCACAAGAGUAACAAAAAUUAACUUGAUAACAUAUGACAUAACUUGAUAACAUUAUGACAGAACAUAAUAUUUGAAGGCUCUACCUGACCUGAUUUAGACAUCUGAAAACCACUGCUUGAAAGACCUGGAUCAAUUAAAUUCAAAUAUUUUAAGUAUCUAAAAAGUUAAAUUGGAAACUGAAAAGACAUGCUUGUCUUAUGCUUCACAAAGAUGCCUAAGCACUGGAUUUUUGAAUGUGGAAUUAUUCUACAUAGUACUCCUGAGCUCUCAACAUUAGGCAGCCUACCACGUCGAAAUGGUAUAAUCAAUCCAUAGAUGAACACUCCUAAAGAAAACGAAUGUUCCCAAAUUCCACAAAGAUCGAUGAUGUCUCUGAAAGGAUGGCAUAUACUUUGUGACAGAGUAAGAUUUCUUCUCUGUCUUGGGAGCCAACGACUGCAGUCACAUUGCUAUUCAAGUAGUGGUAGUUAAUGAUUUAAUCUUUAUUAAUAGGAGAAAAGAUUCCAUUUGUUUAAUAUGCAGGUUAUUUGUGAUGCUAAAUGCAAUGUAAUUGAUGUAAUUUAAAAGUUUCAGAGAUAAUGUCAUGAUUAAUUCAUCUGUAAACAAUCUGGCAUCUUUCAUUUUAUUGAGGCAGGCAAAUUUUUUAACUAGCUGAAAUGUGAGUAAGAACAUUUAUGACAACAAUUAUCAUUUAAAAAUACAAUGCAGUAUGAAAGAUGAAUGUCCUACAGGGCAUUGCACAUUUGCUGUAAGGUCUUAAGAGCUGUAAUUUGGCAUGACUCAUUGUCUCUGUAUGAAAGAAACACGAGGGCAGCAUAACUAGCGUUGUGUCUUUGGACUGAAUAAGGUUUUAGAAUUUCAUGAAGGAGAUCACUGAGUAUAUUUCAAGGGUCAAUUUCUUGAGAGUUUUGCUGCCCCUAUGCAACUAUUCAUUCAUUUAAUCAUUUAUUCAUCCAUUCAAUGAAUAUCAUGGAGUGCCUUUUAAAGGACAAGUGCUUCGGAAGAACUGGGGAUAUGUAUAUAUAGAUUGUUUCUGCCACCAAAGAACACCUAAAGUAUUAAAGAGUAUAGUUUAAGUAAGAUUCAAUUAAUAUCCCAUGAAAUACAUAAAAUGGAUACCAUGGGAGCAAUAAAAGAAGGCAUUUAGCCCAGGCUUGGGAGACAGGCUGAUCAGAAGCUGCUGGAGGAAUUGACAUGUGAAAACUGUAUCUUAUUAAAGGAUGCAGAUAAAGUCACUGAAAAGUUAUCCAGGCAGAGAAGAUGACAUACAAAUGCAAGAGGUUUAAAAACAAAGCAAAACAAAACAAUAUGUGUUAUUUGUGAGCCGUACCACAUGUUUGGUGAUGUUGGAGAGCAAUGUGCAAGGCAAGAAAUGUUGCAGAGCAAGUUCGGGGGUAGAAAGAUUCUAGAAUGUGGAGGGUCAUGUGGACUCUAUUAUAUAAUUUAGAAUUUAUUCUAUAGAUUAUAUAGACCCAUGAGAGCACUAUUUGUUUAGGUAGAUUACUUUAGGGCUUUGAAAGGGAUGAGACUAGAGGUGCAGAGAAACUAUUUAGUAUCGUGAUGAUGUAAUCUGGGGAAAAAAUGAUACAGGCAUAAUUACCACUGGGCUAUGGCCGUAAUUUGGGAGUGAAUAAGAAAAUUGAGCCUAAAUUUGCAGUUUCAAAAGAAUAGAGAUUAAAGGCAGAAUAAAUAGGGGGAUUUCAACAUAUAGUGAAGUAAGGGUUUAAGUAGAGGGCACAGAAAGAAGAGCCCAUAAAGAUGACAAAAAAAAAAUGAUGAGAAAAACACUCCAACAAUUAAGAGAGUGUUAUAAAAUCUAAGGAACAAGGAACUAACAAAGUUCUAAUGAUGUGGUAAAAAUAAGAAAGAUAGCUUUAACUAUUAGAUUAUCCAUCAAUAACUUUGGAAAAACAGUUUCGGUGGAAUACUAUGGGUAGAAUACAAAUUUCUGUGGGUAGUGUAGUGGAUAGAAUUGGGAGUUGAAGACAUGGAGAUGCAGUAUUGAUAGUUGUGUCCCUGAGAGCACGUAGCCUGGACGCUGGAUGUCCUGGAUCCUCAGCUUGCCACUGGCCAUGGCCAAUGUUGUAGUGAGAUAUAUUAAAAAGCAGCCAAAUGGUUACGCAUUAUUAUUGGCUAAAACUUUUACCCCAAACUCCAAUGUAUUCAUCUACUGAAAUAAACCAAAUUGAUGAUGCAACUCCUCAAACGCAGACCUGCCUGUAAAAAGAGUUGGGUCAGUGAAUUGUGGUGAGAAAGUGGGUAUUAACUUCAGGAGUUGCACCUGUGAUGAAAGAAUAAGUGUGGAAUAAAGUCAUAUAUCAACACAUUAAGUCCAAGUGUGGAAUAAAGUUAUAUAUCAACAGAUUAAGACCAAGCAGGUGGGCUUUCUUUUUGUGGAAGGUGGGUUAGGAAUGUUUAUUUUUUAAAUGUAGUGUUUUCUAAGCUAUUUACAAAUGUUAACUAUUUAAGCGUUUUUUUUUAAUUUAAUUUGAUGAGGUAGAAAUUAUUGUUGUAGACGAGUAAAUAGAAACACAGAAAGAGUAAGUAAAUUGCCCAAAGUCACUCACACAUAUUUGAGUAGAAGUGUCAGGAUUUGAACUCAGGCAGUCUGGCUUCAGAGUCUCUGCUCUUCCAUGCUGUAAAUACACUAUAUUGUAUAGGUUUUUUUAAAUAUGUAUUUAUUAAUAAGGACAUAGAGUAGUGAAUUAAAGGCAUCACUUGGAAUCUCCUAAAUCCAGUUUUGCUUAAUAAUAAUUAAAGAGAUCCUUUAAUUAAGAACUUUAGGCCAGGUGCAGUGUCUCAUGCCUGUAAUCCCAGUACUUUGGGAGGCCACGGUGGGAGGAUCACUUCAGGUCAGGAGUUCAAGACUAGCCUGGCUAACAUGGUGAAACCUCAUCUCUACUAAAAACGCAAAAAUUAACUGGGUGUAGUGGAGCACGCCUGUAAUCCCAGCUACUCUACUCAGGAGGCUGAGGCAGGAGAAUUGCUUGAACCCAGGAGGCAGAGGUUGCAGUGAGCCUAGAUUGUGCCACUGCACUCCAGCCUGGGCGACAGGGCGAGACUCCAUCUCAAAAAAAAAAAAAAAAAAAGAACUUUAGACACACAAUCACAGUUUAAUUAUAAAAAACUAAACUCACAUCAUAUAAUGAGUUCCUAUAUCAAGUUAUCUAUAAUGUCAAAAAUAACACACAGGGGCAUUAAACUAUUUAUUCAAACCUAGCACUGAGUUUAUAAAAUAGAUUACCUUCGAGAAUAAGAAAUCCAGGACUGGAAGAGAAUGCAAACAUUUUGGAAUGAGCAUUUAGAAAAAUGAGACAAUGUGAUGGGGAUUUAACUAGAGAUUAGUAUAAGGCAUGUUAAUCAGCUACGAAGUCUGACUGAGUCUGACCAGCAUACAUUGGCAGUGGACCAACUGGCCUGGCUUUAUGACUCGACUUUCACUAGCAACAGUCAAUAGAGCAGGAAGAUAUGUGCAUAUGUAUCCAUGUGUCUGUGUGUCAGGGGUUGAGGGAGCAAAUGAUCCUUUCUACAAUCAGGGUUGCUGAAGGGAAAGGCAGUAAGGCAGAUGGAUAAGAGAGCAACUGGAAUUUUAGGAAUAUAUAUUUACAUAGUUUUGUACAGUUCAGUAAUAAUCCAGAUAAAUUGCUUAGGCCAGAUGGUUGGUUUAUCAAGCCAUGCAGUGUGCCUUUUUGUAUGCAAAUGAAAUGUCUACAUAUCAAGAGAGCCUUGGGCAGAAUCCAAAAUGGAGCAGCCAAUUUGCCCUAAAAGGUGAUAAAUUUAGGACCCAGAGAGGAGAAUACUGGAGGUUGACAAUAUUGUUUCCUAAUAUGUCCUAGUGAUUUAAUUUUAAUAAAUUGAUGUGAACUUGCUGGUCAUCUAAUUGUUCUCUAAUAGAUGUAUUGUAGAGACUUUUUUUUUUUGCAUAAGUAUGGCGCAGAGGAGGCUAAUAAAACUAAAGUUUUCUGCAAUUUUAGGUUGAUUCAAACCAUUUCAAUUUCAAUUUCUCAAAAGCUCAUCAUUGGGAGACAAUUAAAGAGCCCCUAAAUGAUUAUGAAAUUGCAAAUUAUCACAAUAGCCUCAAAGAAAUGCCUAUCAGAUCAAAGUUGGGGAAGAAAGCACAGUUGAGUAGAAUGAGAGAGAAUCCUGAAGAUAAUGAUUAAGCCAAUGACGGCUACUUCACCUGAAAUCUCUGCCACCCUCAAUAAAUGUGUGCUUUAUCAAGUAAUUCUUUCUCCUUUGACUAGGGUGGGAUAGGGGAAAGGUGGCUCUCAAGUUGCUUCAAAAGAAGAGCUGGCAAUUCAAAUAUUUUCUUGAUAAUUUAGGAUUGGGAAGUCACGUUGCUGAGUUUUCUAUGAUUAGAAACUAAAGGAAAAUUUGAAAGAGAGAUAAAGUAUAAAACAGCAUAAAUUAUGGCUAAACAAAGGAUUCCUUCUGGAAAAGGGAAGAGGAUAGGGCAGAAAUUCCAUGAGUGACAGAUCAAGCAGCCCCUGAAGUUGUUUUACAAAAAGAAAUUAGUGAUCUUGGUGAAGUGGGUUAUCUAAUCAUUUUGGUAAACUCUUCGGUUCCCUCCCUUCUGAGCCCUUGCCACAAAAACUAAACAUAUGACCCAAGCCUCACCAAAUAUAUUACUUCAUUUGCCCGGCAACAAUGAUUGGUCCAAGGCAUAAGCAUGUGACCCAAGCAGGACCAAUCACAUUUUGUCCCCUGGGGUUGUUAUUUGGUCAUUGAUAGGAGGAAAUACUUUUACCCCUGAGGAUUGCUAGACUGAGAUGCUGGUAGUAAUAGUAAUCUUCCCUAGUCACUGGAGGUAGCCUGUGUGCAGUAGGAGAGAAAGAGAUCUGUCCCACGGAAAGAGAAACAAAAGUCAAAAUGCGAAACAAAUGGAGAGGGGGUCUUCAUUCCUAUCCAAGAAGCUCUGACUGUGUAGCCUCAAUUCUGUAAGCUACACUUGAAAUCAGGUAUUCUGACUUGGUUAAUGACAUCUUUCAGGUCCCAGUUUUAAGUCCUAUACUCAUCUAAACAAAAUUAGCCACCCAAAAAUCAUGAGUCACUCCCCACCUCGCCAGUCACCCAAGAGUGUGUUCUUUGUAAAAAGAGCAUCACUAAGUAAAAUGGGAGCUUAAGAAAUCAAAUCAUAGAAGGCUGUGGUCAGAAAGAAGAAUUUCUGAAUUGAAGAGCUUGAUCACGCAGCAAUUCUGAGAGAUGGUGAGAUCUAACAGAAGCAAUGAGGUUGUUUAGAUACUAUCAAUGCAUACUUUCUGGGGUCAUGAGAAUGAUAUCUCAGAGACACGGGUAGAAAAUGUCUUGUUGUUUCAUUUAGAAAAUCAUUCAGAGGAAAAGGAAAUUAGAGGUUAAUAGGACCUAGCAAUGAGGAUUUUUAGACAAUAGUAUAGGAAAUCAGAAGGGAAAAGCUGUUGAACCAUAAUGGAGGAGCAAAAUACCAGAUGAAGCAGCGAUACGGUAAUGAAAUCUACAAAACACAUUGAGUGUCAGGUACAGGCAGAACAUUAGAUUAUUUCUAUUUUAAAUUUUAUAGUGCAAGUGAAAAGUUGUUUGUUUUUGUUUUUCAUUUUUGCUAUUUGGGGUAACAAAGAGAACAUUUAUGAAGAAGAGAAAGACACUCCAUUAGGAACAGAGUCUGCAGAAAUAGUACAAUUUAUGUCCAGAGAGAACUUUGCUUGUGAGGGCUGCCUACUUGAUGCGAAUGUUGUUUGAUGGCUAUCACUUUGAUUUCCACAGGAACCAUAGAGAUAUUCCAAGACCAACGGUGUGGCUAAGUAUAAAGUAAUGGGGUCUCUAAAUUAAUGUCCACUUGGUGGCAGUAGACUGUGGUUUUUAUUAAUAACACUAGUCUUUAAAUAUAUUUGUGGUAUAUUUAAUUACCACUGAAAUCUUAAGAUUUUGCUACGCAAACUGUUAUUUCCAAUAUGUACAUAUCUUAGAGAAUCAUUUAUUGUAAUUGUUUUCUUUUCCAGAUGAGUCUAUGCCCAGGACCACCAGAUAAUUGAGUCCUGUACAAAAGCUUCUGACUAAACAAUGUGCUCUGGCUCAGGACUAUACAGAGAAAAGACACAGUUUUUAAAUUGAUCGUUCAAAAGGAAACAUAUUUAUGAUAUUUGCUCCAUGAUAUGUAUCUCUCAUCUGUUAGCUCAGGCAGAAUUAAAAUGCUAGACAAUAAUGUUCCAUGCCACUAUGCUUACUCGGGUCUCUCACAUUGGUGUACUUCUGGCACAAAGUCACAUGACAUUUGAGUAAUAGCUGUCUCCCAUGUGGACUUUACACCACAUGAUGUCAGGGGCCAUUCAUUCUAUUCCAAUUACAUAAAUCAUAGAUUAGGAUAGGUCUUGGCAAGGACUGGGUACUAUAUGAAUAUUUUUGAGUAAAUGUAUGAGCACAAAAUAUUUUAUGUGGUUAUGUAUCUAGUAAAACAUGCAAGGCUAACAUAUCCUCUUUCAUUAGACUUCAAGAAAACUCCAGCGAAUAUUUAUCAGAAAAAGAAAACCAGGAAAAAUGAAAGAAGUAAUAAAAUUAAAAUCUCGUACAGACCAAAAAUAAAUGAUACAGAGCAUUUAGGUAGUCAGAAGCUGUGCUAACUGGUUUCCAAACAAGGUAAAGAACAGCCUGCUAGGAACACACUGUAUCUCAAAGGGCAAAACAAUAACGUCAAACCUUUCUCCUCUGCAUUGCAAAUACCAUUUGCAUUUCAAUGACACUACACUCUAAAGAAUAUGCUCUACUAAGUUUGUUAGAUAAGCCGCAUGUGCUGUGUUUCAAAUCACAUAGUAAUAAAAGUGUUCCAGUUCUUUGAUAGAUUUACGUAAUUCCCUAACUGGACUACCAUUGAUUCCCCUUAAGAAAGGUAUAUAGACUCUCUAUGAAAAAUAGAGUUUCUUAAAUCCAGCUUCCUAUGUGGAAAGUAUUAUUACUUUAUAGGAAAAUAAUUUCUAGCUGUUUUCCUGUUGUUCCCAAGAGUCUUUCCAAUUUCUUUAUAUAUCUGUCUUAGAAUGUUCAAUUUUCUCAAGCCCCUUAAAAAAUCAUUCUUGCUUUUCUACUCAUUUCCACUUGUUAAACUUGACCCAGUUUUCUCUUGGUUUCAUAUUUUACCAUUCAACUUUUAUUCCACUCUCUACCCUCUCCAACUCCCCUAAAUAAAUUGUUUUUUCAGGUCAUAAUACCCCUAUUUGUUUUUCCUACACAACGGGUAAGCUCAGAUGGAACAUUAUCGAAUGGUGAAAAGCAUAAGUUUGUCUUAGGACACAAAGUUUCUAACAAAGAUUGAUUCUUCUCAUAUGAAAUAACUGCUUCUUUAUACUUUUCAUGGCAUUUUAGAAUACAGGGUAGGAUUGCAGUCCCUGAAAUGUACCAAUUCUGAAUUAAACUAAUUAAUUAAUUAAUUUUCUUAGCACCCCACAGAGAUUGUGCCAUCACUUUUUUGUAUCAUGCUGCCCCUGAUUUUCCUCCUAGUGGGCCCGAAACAUCCAUCUUUCCACGAGUGUGGUCAGGAGAUUAGGACUGUUAUAAAUGAAGUGCAAAGAGAUUUACUAUUCCAAGCAGAAUUUUGCAGUCAGUAAGAUGUUAAAGAUUAUCUAAAGAAUAUCAAGUCAAAUCCAGAAGUCUCAGCUGAAGGUGUUUCUUCUUUAACAUACAGAUUUUAUACUGCCCAUCAAUGAGGGUAGGCCUUGGGACAGAUUUAUUCUAAGAAAUGAGGAUAGAGUAGAGAAAGAAAAAGUCUGAAGCUCUUCUUAUGGGGCUGCAGAGCUGGGAGACUUUCAGAAAUAUGAGAAAGGAAAUAAGAGAGGCAGAUGACACAUGAGUUUUCAUGUUUUCUCUCCAAACAGAUAGGCAGUCUGGAAAAGCUAAGGAUGUGGGCUUUUGACUAGAAUAAUGUUUGGGACUCUGAAAGGGGUUUGCCUUGGAUGACUGCCCUGCACAGCUUCAAGAUGGCCACAUCGGGGGAAACACAGUGGCACAGUGUGGUGACAGAGGGCUGAUGUUCAGUAUCUGAGUCAUUCUUCAUGUGUGGCAUGAAUAGAGCUAUUUGUUCUAAGGAGGGACUUUGGAGGUGGCUAAAUGGAGUUGGAUAGUCUGCCAUGUGGCCAGUUUUGUUGGUGAUUCUGCAGAUGAACUACCUGCACCAGGAGUCUGAGGGAGGAUGUUACAGGAAUGCAGAGAGGUCUACAGUACAAGUAGGAGUUAAAAUGAGGUCAACUCUCAGCCUGGCAUGGUGACUUGGGCCUGUAAUCCCAGAAUUUUGGGAGUCUGAGGUGGGAGGAUUGCUUGAGCUCAGGAGUUUGAGACCAGCCUGGGCAACAUAGCCAAACCAUCUCUACAAAAAAUAAAAAAAUUAUGUGAGUGUGGUGGUGAGCACCUGUAGAUCCAGCUACUUGGGAGGCUGAAGUGGGAGGAGUGCUUGAGCCUGGGAGGCCAAGGCUGCAGUGAGCCAUGAUUGCAUCACUGCAGUCCAGCCUGAGUGACAGAGCAAAACCCUGUCUCAAAAAAAAAAAAAAAAAAUGAGGUCAACUCAGCCACUGAUUACUGCUAGAUGCUGACCAAGUUAGAGAGGACAACCCAGUGGAUUAAACCUUUCUCCAAAUUAAGCCACAUUGCUAGCAUGUCAGUGAUGAUCAAGAGGUCAAAGUAGUGAGUGAGGGCUAAAGAAGUGAGAGCACACUUAAUAUCAGAAAUAUUUCAGUCCAUGGGCAAAAGGAUAUUCUUACCAUGGGUAAGAGGAGGAAGUUUGCAGAAAUCUGAAACACUGAAACAAUUCUCUUAAAGACACUGGGAAAGGCUUCAGUGUCCAAACUGUUUUAAACCAAAUGAGUCUGUUUUUAAUUUUUUCUCCAACUGGAGAAAAUUGAAAAUUGUUUUGGUUGGGGCCAAGGGUGAAGGAGUCUUGAAGAACAUUGGAUCAGAUAUACCAAAUGACCAAUUUGAUAGAUUGAUUGAUUGACUAAUUUUUUUUUAAACUUUUAAGUUACUAUGGGAGUAAAUUCAUUACUUUGCUACAAAUGUUGUGGGAAAGUGGACAAGUCAAUGCACUACUGUGAAUACUUAUUCACUAAUUCACGUUUCCAUUUGGAAAAAUAAAGGAGUUGGGCUGCAUAAUUCUUAAGGUCUUCUUUAGUUGAGAGAACCUAUAUGUAUUUAUAGUCUGUCCUUCUUAUGUAGAGAACACGAAUGUCUAAUUAUUUACAUUUAUUUUUAUGAUAGAAUUAAAACGAUGUAUUAAGCUGGCCUUUUUUCAGACAUACUUGCAACCAGAGUCAUCAAUUUUGAAGACAGCAACCAAGCCAAGCAAUGUGAGGUUACAGCUAUGAAAUAGAACAGAGAUGUCUAGACUAUAGACACAGCCUGCCGUUUUGUGCUGAUUGGUAAAGUGUUCCAGCCAACUGGAAGCAAAUAUUUCUCAGAAGCAGUUUCCUGCUCUCAUCCUCUCCUCGCCAUGCCCACUGUGCCCAACAUGGCUCCAGCUGGGUCACAGAAGACUUUGUCCUGGAAUACAGCAUUUCCCUAUUUAAAUCUCUAACUUUGUAUGUACUCUUUUCAAUAAAAGCAUAUUUUUCAUUACCAUUCUGACCAUACUCCCUUCUCUGCUGGCUCCACAGCUAAGGUUUCUGCACCUGUUCCAUAACUUCUGGGAUCUGUCUCUGUUGCUGCACGUAUGCAUUCCAUAAGCAUUAAUAGAUCCAUUCACUCUUCUGAAAUCUGGGCAGCUUAAAUCAUAUUACAUCUAACGUAUUUUUACUAGAGUCAGUUCUACCCCCCGACUCUUGAGUGCACACACAGGCACUUCUCUGUAAGUUCCUUGAGGUCAGAAAUAGUCCCCUAGUCAGCCUUCUGCCUUCUGUAGUUCCUGGUCCAUCAAGGUGCAGAGUACAUAUUCCACAGAUAAAUAGAUAACUCUCAUUCAAUGCUCUGAUCUUUCCUUUAUCUUGUUUCCCUGGAUAUUCCUCUUUCACGGCUCUUUUCUAUUUAAUUUACCCACAUACUCCUCUAAUUCCAUUCACUUACUUUCAACCAAUUCUUUUCAUUGCUUAUAAACAGAUGUUUAGACAGUUUGUAGACAUGAUCAGUAAUAUGAGUCAACAUUUUAUCACUGCAGGAUGGUGUUAGAAAAUUACAUCUUAAAUUACUUUGUGACCAAGCUUUUAUAAAAUUUGCCCUUAGAUAGCUAUCCAGAG
This 15180-nucleotide long non-coding RNA is filed under the name Homo sapiens (human). RNAcentral describes it as "HSALNT0297103". The record is from RNAcentral. Lineage: Eukaryota; Metazoa; Chordata; Mammalia; Primates; Hominidae.